RNAcentral lists this ribosomal RNA (251 nucleotides) under uncultured prokaryote. Its description in RNAcentral is "partial 16S rRNA". It matches the Rfam family "Bacterial small subunit ribosomal RNA", at positions 525 to 775 of the family's 1533-position model. The record is from RNAcentral.
ACGUAGGGGGCGAGCGUUGUUCGGAAUUACUGGGCGUAAAGGGCAUGUAGGCGGCUUGGUAAGCCUGGCGUGAAAGUCACCGGCUCAACCGGUGGAUUGCGUUGGGUACUGCUGAGCUUGAAUCACGGAGAGGGAGCUAGAAUUCCAGGUGUAGGGGUGAAAUCUGUAGAGAUCUGGAAGAAUACCAGUGGCGAAGGCGAGCUCCUGGCCGAUGAUUGACGCUGAGGUGCGAAAGUGUGGGGAUCAAACAG